This 406-nucleotide ribosomal RNA is filed under the name uncultured bacterium. Its description in RNAcentral is "partial 16S ribosomal RNA". It matches the Rfam family "Bacterial small subunit ribosomal RNA", at positions 30 to 526 of the family's 1533-position model. The record is from RNAcentral.
AUUGAACGCUGGCGGCAGGCCUAACACAUGCAAGUCGAGCGCGCGGCGGACGGGUGAGUAAUGUCUGGGAAACUGCCUGAUGGAGGGGGAUAACUACUGUAAACUGUAGCUAAUACCGCAUACCAGCAUGUGUACCCACAGGGGAUUAGCUAGUAGGUGGGGUAACGGCUCACCUAGGCGACGAUCCCUAGCUGGUCUGAGAGGAUGACCAGCCACACUGGAACUGAGACACGGUCCAGACUCCUACGGGAGGCAGCAGUGGGGAAUAUUGCACAAUGGGCGCAAGCCUGAUGCAGCCAUGCCGCGUGUAUGAAGAAGGCCUUCGGGUUGUAAAGUACUUUCAGCGGGGAGGCGUUACCCGCAGAAGAAGCACCGGCUAACUCCGUGCCAGCCGCCGCGGUAAUUC